Long non-coding RNA from Gadus morhua (Atlantic cod), 1275 nucleotides. RefSeq lists it as uncharacterized. Lineage: Eukaryota; Metazoa; Chordata; Actinopteri; Gadiformes; Gadidae. The record is from RefSeq and is a predicted model, not a curated record. The transcript has 2 exons.
ACAGCCUGCAGGUCUAGAGACAUCCAUCCCUCCAGCACCCUCCAGUGAAACACAGCCUGCAGGUCUAGAGACAUCCAUCCCUCCAGCUCCCUCCAGUGAAACACAGCCUGCUGAAGAAACUACACCACUAAUGUCCAGUGAAUCUCCUGCACCAACCGGGGACCACCAAGAACACACUUCAAGAACAAGUACCCCUGAUGGUCAUGAUGAUGACCAGAGUCUGGGUCCUGAGGACGAUGUCAUCAGGAGAGACAUUAGCGCCUCCCAGUUUAUCCCCUCCUCCUCCCAGUCCACCUCCCAGUCCACCCCCUCCACCUCCCAGUCCAGCCCCUCCACCUCCCAGUCCACCUCCCAGUCCACCCCCUCCACCUCCCAGUCCAUCCCCUCCACCUCCCAGUCCAUCCCCUCCAUCUUCCCCUCAGCCCGCAGGUCUGGUGCUGGAGAGAGAGACAUCGAGAUGGGUCCAGGAUCAGACCCUAAGUAUCAACCGUGAUUCACUAUUGAAGGGGAAUGACAUUGCAGGAGACAAAGUUACACAGUUCUAGAAAUUCUGGAUCAACAUGAAAGUGAAUCUGAUGAUUCAAACUCAGAAACUAGAGGAGGAAAUACACCAGUCUGAUUCCUCCCUGAUGCCAGCUUUCACAGGAGAAGGGGAGUGGUGUGUUUAACAUCAUUAUUUGAUCAAUCCUCACAUUAUUCUUUUAUAUGUGGCUCACAGAGCAAAGAGAAGCGAGGUGUUGAUAAAUGUGAUGGGUAACGUUGGCUUGGGUCCAAGCUCCACCUCUCUUGAGCGACCACCAAGGAAGACAAUAUUUUCUUCAUGAUAUAUUUUUUUACAACGUUACGAACUAUUUUGUAAACGAUGACACGUACAUAUUUCACCCAUGCAAGUAUCUUUUCUUGUUGUUUUUCUGCUAACCUUUUAGUAACGUCACUUUUUUGAAGGCUUUUGACCGUAAUCAUUUAGGGAAUAAAAUGUGAAAUAACAAAUGCAAAACCUAUAAUGAAAAUAUCUCCCAAUGUACUGCACUGUAUUUCAAUGGGGUAACCUUAUUUACAUUUAAUGUCUUUUGUUUUUUUUAAGUAAUUCCUGUACUUUACUUUUUUUUUUUAAUCAGGACGCAUUUGGGGUGCUGGGAUUAGCAUUACAUGGCCUUCUUUCAUGUGUCAGUCAAACAUUGGUAGUAACAUAUUGUUUGUGAUCAAGUGGAGUCAGAGAGGGCUGGUUGUGGGGUAUUCUGUGAUGAGAGCACACUAAUAAAGGGUUGAACAUUG